This 431-nucleotide long non-coding RNA is filed under the name Mustela putorius furo (domestic ferret). Its description in RNAcentral is "lncRNA (ENSMPUG00000025549.1)". The record is from RNAcentral. Lineage: Eukaryota; Metazoa; Chordata; Mammalia; Carnivora; Mustelidae.
CGUGCUUCCGUCGUUGACCAGGGUGGGGGGGUUGUUAAGGGAGGGGGGACGCGGGGGGGGUGGUAACUGAAGCUGUGGAAGGGAAAACUGCAGAGAAGCAGGGGACUACUCUAUACAAUAUUUUUUUUUUUUCCUGGAGGCUUUACCAUAUAUUCCUGAUUUCCUUUAUUGAAAUAACUGUACUGUAUUAAAAUGAGAGAAGCCUAAUCGGACAGAGGAAGCAGGUAUCUGUGAUCUCUGUGGAGAGAUGGUGUCAGCUGAACCUACACUACGGGACACUUAGAAGCCAGGAUAACCACAUUUCAAGCCGGGAUAACCUUCAGCGUUUCUCAAAAUGGAGGAUUUUUAAAAAAUCAGUUAUUCAUAAAUAUUAUUACCAAGACUGAAGAUCUUUAAAGUAUCAAGAUGUAUUGGUCUCUGUGAACUUAAAG